RNAcentral lists this ribosomal RNA (497 nucleotides) under uncultured bacterium. Its description in RNAcentral is "partial 16S ribosomal RNA". It matches the Rfam family "Bacterial small subunit ribosomal RNA", at positions 28 to 507 of the family's 1533-position model. The record is from RNAcentral.
GAUGAACGCUGGCGGCGUGCCUAAUACAUGCAAGUCGAGCGAACAGACGAGGAGCUAGUUCCUCUGACGUUAGCGGCGGACGGGUGCGUAACACGUGGAUAACCUACCCAUAAGCCUGGGAUAACUUCGGGAAACCGCAGCUAAUACCGGAUAAUAUAUUGAACCGCAUGGCUCAAUAGUGAAAGAUGGUUUUGCUGUCACUUAUCGAUCGAUCCGCUCGGCAUUAGCUAGUUGGUAAGGUAACAGCUUACCAAGGCAACGAUGCGUAGCCGACCGGAGAGGGAGGAAGGCCACACUGAAACGGAGUCACGGUCCAGACUCCUACGGGAGGGAGCCAGAGGGGAGCAUCCUUGAUGGGCGGAAGCCUGACGGAGCAACGCCGCGUGAGUGAGGAAGGGCGUCGGAUCGGAAAACGAUGUUAUUUGGGAAGAAGAAAAGAAUAAGUAACUAUGCGCGUCUUGACGGUACCUGAUCAGAAAGCCACGGCUAACUACGUG